AGUGAACGCUGGCGGUAGGCCUAACACAUGCAAGUCGAACGGCAGCACAGUAAGAGCUUGCUCUUACGGGUGGCGAGUGGCGGACGGGUGAGGAAUACAUCGGAAUCUACUUUUUCGUGGGGGAUAACGUAUGGAAACUUACGCUAAUACCGCAUACGACCUACGGGUGAAAGCAGGGGAUCUUCGGACCUUGCGCGAUUGAAUGAGCCGAUGUCGGAUUAGCUAGUUGGCGGGGUAAAGGCCCACCAAGGCGACGAUCCGUAGCUGGUCUGAGAGGAUGAUCAGCCACACUGGAACUGAGAGAAGGUCCAGACUCCUAAGGGAGGCAGCAGUGGGGAAUAUUGGACAAUGGGCGCAAGCCUGAUCCAGCCAUACCGCGUGGGUGAAGAAGGCCUUCGGGUUGUAAAGCCCUUUUGUUGGGAAAGAAAAGCAGCAGGUUAAUACCCCGCUGUUCUGACGGUACCCAAAGAAUAAGCACCGGCUAACUUCGUG
RNAcentral lists this ribosomal RNA (492 nucleotides) under uncultured bacterium. Its description in RNAcentral is "partial 16S ribosomal RNA". It matches the Rfam family "Bacterial small subunit ribosomal RNA", at positions 29 to 507 of the family's 1533-position model. The record is from RNAcentral.